AGGGGUGUAGCUCAUUGGUAGAGCAUGUGCUUAGAGCAUGCCUGAGGUUUUGGGUUCAAUCCCCAGCACCUCCA
Transfer RNA from Camelus ferus (Wild Bactrian camel), 74 nucleotides. It matches the Rfam family "tRNA". From Rfam's summary of the family: Transfer RNA (tRNA) molecules are approximately 80 nucleotides in length. Their secondary structure includes four short double-helical elements and three loops (D, anti-codon, and T loops). Lineage: Eukaryota; Metazoa; Chordata; Mammalia; Artiodactyla; Camelidae. The record is from Rfam.